UCCGGUAACAUUACCUAAGGGGAAACACCCGUUCCCAUACCGAAUACGGUAGUUAAGCCCUUAGAGGUCGAUGGUACUAUAGUCGUAAGGCUAUGGGAGAGUAGAACGUUACCGGGU
RNAcentral lists this ribosomal RNA (117 nucleotides) under Candidatus Omnitrophota bacterium. Lineage: Bacteria; Pseudomonadati; Candidatus Omnitrophota. The record is from RNAcentral.